UAUUUAUUUAUGCUUGAGUCACAAAUUAAGAUUCUUUUUAGCUGACGACGCAGCUUGUCGCCGAUAUGAGAGUCCUUGUGAAUGAGAGGGCACAAUUUAUGCCAAGUGCUUGGGGCGGGAUGCGCACACUCUAGAGCACACACUUCCGGCACGGCCACAUCAGGCUUGACUUGACUUGACUCCACAAACUUGGCUAGUCUCUUGAAGAGGAGCACCAACAGCAGCAGCUGGCAGCUGACUGCUAACUGGGCGUGGCUACGCCCUGAUGUCUCAGGCAUGCAGAAGAGAGCAUUGUUAACAAUUCAGGACACAAAGACGAGCGCCCACUGACAGAAGAGUAUGCAGCAAUAAUAUUAAUAAUAAUAAUAACAAUAAUCAGCUGCCUCUGCCGCAAUAUUACUUGCCACACGAGGGACACAUAAAGACGUUGCCGCUCCCACACUGGAGCUACGAGUCGCGACAUGCAGCAUUCUUUGGGUAAGUUUGUGCCGCAUGGGCAGAGGCAGAGGGUUGUCCUGUGAUUUGCUUUGAUUUGCCCAGGCACGCAUCAUUGACGUGCCGUGGGCUACACACACAAUUUACAUGCGUACAACGAGCCGCAGUCAGUCAUUAAUUUCAAUUUUGUCUGUUUGCCAAGAGCAGCAGCCGACACCACACCCGCAGCCAGGCCGGGACAUAACUGAAGGGUUUUCAGAGACAAGAAUUAUUUAUUUACCAGCGUUUUGGGGCAACAACUGAUGCUAUUCGUUUGUGGCGCUGCGAUUCCUUCAAAUGCUGGCCGUUUGCCUCCUGCUGCUCCUUUGAAUUUUGGACAGCUGCUUCGCCUCCAAAUCGCACUACUUCUCUUAAAUUUCUCAGGCUACUCUUUUUUUCAGCAUUCUCAAGCCAUUGCUGCGCUGCAUUGUGCCCCUUUUGCUUGUUAGCCUUAGCUGCUUUUCUUCGGCUCUUCUCAAGCCGACUCUCAAACCCUUCUAGUGGGUAAUAUGGCUUACUAUUGAAUGUGUUAUGCAGAACCCCCCACAGCAGUCGUACAUAUUCCCAAUUAAUUUUAAUUUAUAUACAAACUACAUACUCUUUUGGCUUUAAAAUGAUCGUCAUAUCGGUAUUGGCCUGAUCGAACAGCUAUAUCUUAUCGCUGCCAUAGCAAUAAUCGAUCGCAAGUUAAGCUCUUGUGAGAACAACUUUUUGGCUUUUCGAAUUAUUUUAAAUAUAAACAAAAUCGGAGCAAGCCAGUUUUUUUCUGUUUAUUAUUAGAGUCUUGCAUCUUCGGCGUGUUGAAGACUCUAUCCUUCUUGAGUUCGCAUUCCCUAAGCAACUGCACAGCAAUUGCUCCAACUGCUCCGCUUCAACAGUUUUUCCCCUUCUCCUUUGCCUUGACUACUUCAGCUGGCCGUCGCCAAUUACAUUUGCUUGUCGUGCUUCAACAUUCUGCGCUCCAUCUCUCGCAAGUCUGCCGCUGCUUGAUGGUCGCAGCAGCAGCUCCAACGACUCUGCCACACGCUGCCAGGCCGCCUGCAACGUGGUGGCCUGUGGCCCUUUGCCCUCAUUUGGUUUUUGGCCAAAAUAAACAAUAAAUUAAAUUGCCACAUUUGAUUGCUGCCUCCCAGCUGUGGCUUCAGAGUUGCCUGUGUACCUGCCUGGCGAGCAACAUUUUUGAUAUGACUAAAUGUAUGGCCAUACAUUAUGCAGUUGCUUGUCUUUGCCACACGCACCGUCCUAAUAACAGCUACCCUUAAGCGAAUCCCUACCCCUAGCGCUACCCCUACCCCUAAGCCCAAACGCCUCGCCCCUUAGGCAAGCAUAUAAUGUCAUUUUUUCUCAAGUUACGAUCAUUUACGCAUUUAUUUUCAACAUCAUUUGCUCUGCCGCCGACUUUUGUGCAAUUGGAAUUCAAAUUCAAGCCGCAGCCAGGACAUGGCCCGGAAUAUAGCAAGAUUUAUGUGCGCCGAGGACAUUUUUCAUGCUGCACUAAAAUAAAAAAAAAAUAAUAAAAAAGUAGGGAAAACAAAGAAAAACGCACAAAACGUUCAUUGAAAACACAUUUUCACAGGCAGCACUCGAAAUGGCGAAUUCAAUAAAGCAUUACGUAAUAUUGCCAAGUCACACACACUCACACACACACUCAUGCAUUCGCACUCGCAUUAGUAAUGCAAAGCUGGCCAUGUGUGUGCAAUAAUUUACAACAUUUUAAUCGAAUUAGAAGCAGACGCUGGCGAAGAGCGUGAGCAGAGGGUUGCACAUGGUGCAAGAGAGGCAGCAAAGUAUGCAGAGAUGUGGCAGAUAGCAAGGGGGCGAAGUGUGAGCGCCGGGGCAGCUUGUGUGGGCAACGCUGGCAGCUUGAGUGAGCCAAGAGCCGGGCCAAAAAGCAAAAGCAAAAUGCAUUUUAAGUGUUGCAAGCGGCGGGCGCUGUGUGUGGCAGGCAGCGUGUGUGGCAGUCAGGCAGUUGGCGCAAGUGCCAACGGCUAAAGCAUAAGACAAAAAAGAAAUUAUAUAAACACACACAAACACACACACACACACACACAUACAGCCACUGCGCAAAAUAUAUAAAAAGCAAGAAGCAGCAAAGCGUUAGAAUUUGUUUUGAACAAGUGCCAACAAAUGCUUUUUAUUGUUUUUGUUCUCAGUUGCAGCUUGCGCUUGGCCAAAACUUAUUUUUUGCUAAAAAAUUAAAGCAAACGUUUAAAAAGUUUAUAAAACUAAAUUCACAAAGAGAGCUUUAAUUGCAUGCAGAAAUAAACAAUAAAAGCAUUGGUCAGACUUCAUAGGCAAACAAUUAAGCUAAAUUACUGUUUUAUAAACUCAACUUUGACGGCGCACUAAAACAGUGUUGUGCAGCAGCUAAAUGUCAAGUCUUUUAGAUUAAACUAAUAGCUGUAGCUGAAGCUUUCGAUAGAAAACACGCUUUCCAGACAGGCUCCGAACAGUUAUUGAAGAUCACAGCAAAUUAAUAAGUUUAUGAAAGCUUAAAAAGACAGGAGCUUUAAGAAAGUGUUGUUUUUAAAAAAGAUGAGAUCAUCUAUUCAGGCCUUAACCUGAGCUCACAGCUAAUCUAUUAACCAAAUAAGCUGAUCUGUUAAAAGUAGAUUAAGACAUGAGAGCUUUAAUAUUAAUAAGCAUACUUAAAGCUUCAAUUAUAUUACAGCCCCAAUGCUUCAGCUAAUGCACGCUCGCAUCAUUUUAUUUCCAGCUAACAGCUUUGAAAGCGCAUUAAGCCUCAAGCUUUAAGCUUUAAUAUGCUCAAUGCAUACAAUUAAGCUUACUUAAAGCAUCAAACUGCAUGAUAUUCUCCAUCUAGCAGCCACUUUGAGCGCUUUUUAAUGCAUAGCCAAAUAUACAAAAACCCACUGAAGAUUUGCUCAAGCGAUUCGGCAUUUUUUUUUUUGUGUUCCUUAAACCAAAAGAGGACGCUGCAUAAAGGGCCAAAAGUAAAUUGUCAUAAAUUCCAGGCAAUAAAUUUCUAUUUGUUUUCAUUUUUAGCCAGUUUCAUUUGCUGUUCUGCACCGAGUGGCACCGAGCCGCAGCCACAGCCAUAGCCACAGCGCACAAUGCCAGUUAUGUUGCCAGUUAUGGUGCUGCACAGUUGCACACACACACACGCACGCAAACAAACACACACACAUAGAGCGAAAUAAGCUAAAAUGUUGUGUGCCAAAUAAAACGUCAGUUUAUGCAGCCGACCCAAACGCUGGGCUGCAACUGCGCGCAUUUAUUAUAAUAUUAUUAAGUAUACGCCAAGUAUGGCGCAGCAGAGCGCAGCGAAGCACAACGCAACAUUGGGGCGUAUUUCAUUGUUGACAUUUAGUAACAUUUAUUGGGCAGCUGCACGAAACUUCUCUAAAACUGAAUCAAUCUAAUCGCAGCCCAGUGAGCUGAAAAGAGAGGCAAAGCGCAGAACGUGAUGGUAAUGUUGUGUAAUGUAGUUGGUUGGACAGCGAGAAACCUUGUUUACAUUAUGAUAAGUUGACCAGAAAUAGAGAGUUUCAAGCAUAAGCUAUUCUCUUCGCUAUGCUUCUUACUUCCUAGUAUUUAUAAGGGAGAUUUUGGUCAACGAAACGCUUCUCGCUUUGGCUCUUGCUUCUCGCAUAUUUCUUAUGCACACCUCUUCAUGGAUACGCUGGAUACGCCCAUGAUUAUAAUUUAUGAAUUGCCUUCAUAAUUUUUAAGUGAAUGCACUUCUUAUUUCGCGUCACAAUUCCCGCCUUCCAUAGCUCGCUUCUUUUCUUAAACCCUAAGAUAUCUGCCGAUUAAUAAAGAGCAUAAGAAAUGCUUGAAACGUUAAUACUUCCCACUUCUCUCUCUGCUUAACGCUUUGCUUCUAAUACUUUGCUGCCAGUUAUACUUUAGCCCAUAUCUGUCACUUAUUUCUUGGACAGUUUUUGGCUGACUUCUCUGUUUGCUUCUUACUGUUGCUUCUUUCUGUUACUCCUUUCUUAAGUUAAGUUUAUUUUUUUUGGUUAUUCCCACACCCGUCUGCUUUUUGCUGCGCUUAUCUACAAUAAAUUAUUCUGUCCAUAUAAAACGUAAUGAAAAGCGCUUUCAUUUCGCGUGGCACUAUUACAUUUAUGCCACACCUUGUGGCAGCUGCCUCGACUUACGAUUUCGGAAGCAUGCAUCGCCAGCUGCUUUUGCUGCUGUUGCUGCUGCCGCUGCUUCUGCUGUCACUUAAUGUCACUUGCUGCUAAUAACUUUUGUCUUUGCGCCAUAAAAAAUCGAUGUGGCUCGAGUUAGAUUCACAGCCCGCAGCUCACAGCUUGCGACAUGAGCCGCAUUACAAGUGAUUGGUUUGACAUGAGCACAGAGCGCGAAGGGGCGGCCGAGCCAGCGCGCUGUUGCUGCCACUCGCCUGUCACAAAAUCCGCUAAGCGCCCCAGACAACUCGUGACAUGUAAUGAGCCGCCCUCUGAGCUCCAUUCAGCUCUCGUGUGAGACCCAACAGCUUUGGGUGUUGCGGCAAUAUUUCAAUUUUAUUCGUCUUGUAUGGCUUUUAGGACCAUCCGAAGAUUUCUCGCAUUACUAAAUUAAUAUUACCCAGCAGCGAGAAGCAAAAUGCAUUGUGUUUAAGAAUGUAACGGAAGUUAACUAAACAAUAAGUGAAGAAAGUAAUAAUAUUAGAUUGAGUAACGCUACUUUAAAGAGCAGGAAGAAGCGAAGGUAUAAACAAAGUUAGAAUCUAGAGAAUCUUUCUAACAUCGCGAAGCUCACAUUUAAGGCAAAAACCUACACUCGUUCCUGUUAAUAAAUAGACUUUUGCUAUAUUUUACGGCCAUUGUUAGUGUUACACCUGUUUUUUUUUGCAUUUCCAUUAGGGUGACCAUUUUGUCGACUAGGGUAAUUCCGGCUGCCCCAAAAAGUAGGCUACGAGAAAAAUUAAAUAACAAUUUCGUGGCUUGUUAAUGUUGCAGAGUGACAUGCGAACGUUGCAUUAUGGAAUGUUAUUAUAAAAUCUUGCCACAAGCACACACAAAGACAACAUACUGUUACACACACACACACACACACAUGGAGCAGGGCACUAUUUGUAUGCAUUUAAACGACUCUAUUUACCACAAAAUGGCUGCGCUGCGAAAUCGACAACAACAAUAACAAUAACAACAGCUGUAACUGCAGCCACGGGGCAUGCAACAACAUGCCAACAAACAAUGCCAACGAUAAUAAUAAUGAUACCAACAACAACAACAGCAACAACAACUGGCAACCAGGAUUUUAAAAGCCAAGCGCUGGUAAGGACUACAAUAAAAUCAGGCAGCCAGCAAAUACAAUUUCUAGUGGGCGUGUGUAUGUGUGUGUGUGUGUUUGUGUGCUUGUGUGUGCACUUUACGGCUAUUUAAAAUUUAAAUAAUAGCGAAAAACCGCACGAAAUAAUAAUAAAUCAUAGGAAAUAUGCACGCGCGCCCUUUUCCUCCCAAGCCCCCGUUCAAGCUCUGCUCCUAUUUUUGUGUGUGUGUGUGUGCGUGCGUGCGUGUAUGUGUGUGUGUGUGUGUGUAUUUGGUAGCGCGUGUGUUGAUUUAAUAGUCGCGGUCACAAGCAUUAUGGCAUGUUCAUGAUUGCCACACCUACACGCCCCUUGCACUCGAGCCCUUAAAAUAAACGUGACCAGCUAGUCGCAGCUAGCAGCGACCCUCCCUUCCGUCAUCCAGCCCCCUCUCCGUCAGCCGACUAGGCCACUGUUGGCCAUUAUAUGUUACGCUUACGGCUUUUCGCUGUUGUGUUUGCUCGUUCCUCAACCGCUUCUCCCUCUCGCCUAGCUCUUUUUAUAUGCAAAUUCCGCUUUUAGCUUUAUUCGCAUAUGCGCAGUUUUUCAUUAUUUAUUGUGUGUUUAAACAGAUUACGUAUACGCCGCAUGUGCGUAUGUGUGCGUAUUGGCCAUGUGGCGCACCCACAUCUUUUUGGCCAAGAUUACGGCUGAUGACGGUCGCAAAUUGAUUGUGAUACAGGUGAGAAAAUGUUGUGUAAUCUUUGGCAGAUGUUUUCCAGAUAACGGCAGAAGCUGUUACAUUUAAUAGUCAUAGUUUAUUCAGACAUUAACAUUAGAUAAGAUAAUUGUUGUUCUUGUCGAAAUUUAGUUUUGCUUAAAGAAUUUCCUAAAAAUUAAAUUACAGUACAAUUCUU
This is a non-coding RNA of Drosophila virilis, 6612 nucleotides long. NCBI's taxonomy places the organism in Eukaryota, Metazoa, Arthropoda, Insecta, Diptera, Drosophilidae. The record is from RefSeq and is a predicted model, not a curated record.